RNAcentral lists this ribosomal RNA (253 nucleotides) under uncultured bacterium. RNAcentral's name for it is "partial 16S ribosomal RNA". It matches the Rfam family "Bacterial small subunit ribosomal RNA", at positions 524 to 776 of the family's 1533-position model. The record is from RNAcentral.
UACGUAGGGUGCAAGCGUUAAUCGGAAUUACUGGGCGGAAAGCUUGCGCAGGCGGUUUUGUAAGUUUGACGUGAAAGCCCCGGGCUCAACCUGGGAAUUGCGUUGGAGACUGCAAGGCUUGAAUCUGGCAGAGGGGGGUAGAAUUCCACGUGUAGCAGUGAAAUGCGUAGAGAUGUGGAGGAACACCGAUGGCGAAGGCAGCCCCCUGGGUCAAGAUUGACGCUCAUGCACGAAAGCGUGGGGAGCAAACAGG